RNAcentral lists this long non-coding RNA (237 nucleotides) under Erythranthe guttata (spotted monkey flower). RNAcentral describes it as "long non-coding RNA (EGUT_LNC002766)". Lineage: Eukaryota; Viridiplantae; Streptophyta; Magnoliopsida; Lamiales; Phrymaceae. The record is from RNAcentral.
UUCCGGCGAGCAUUCGGAUCUGCCGUGGGUACGCAUUAGGACUUGCUCCACCGCGUCGUCGUCCGUGCUUGCGCGGCUCGACCAGCAUUCUAAAGCAGCAGCCAUGGCUGGUUUUAGAGAGAGAAAGUGAAACAAAGGUUAGAGAGAUGAAACUUUUAAUGCGAACAGUGAAAUACAUGGGAGUUUUGUAAUGCUGCUGCUGCUGCCAUUUAUUUUUCUGUCUGACAUCAAACACUA